Alligator sinensis (Chinese alligator) is the source of this 650-nucleotide long non-coding RNA. RefSeq lists it as uncharacterized. NCBI's taxonomy places the organism in Eukaryota, Metazoa, Chordata, Crocodylia, Alligatoridae. The record is from RefSeq and is a predicted model, not a curated record. The transcript is spliced from 3 exons.
CCUGUGCUCUGUUACAGGUGCCCAGAAUUUUCACACUUGAAAACUAGAAGUUAGUGUGCGACAUAUAGAAGUCUGACUGCGUACACACAUUCAAAUAACUGGGGAGAAUUCUUCCAGGCAAAUAGAAAAUAGAAGCAAUGCAAGAAACGGAUCUUUACAAAUCAGAAGUACUCAAGUAUAGAAAAUUGGUGACGGAGGCUGAAGACAUGACGGAAAAAUCUGGCUGGCAGGGUACAGGAAGGAAGGAAUUAUAGGAAGGAAUAAACAUAGGAUUUGUCUCAUGGACAAGACCAUUGAUUCACCUGGCAUGAAGCCCACAUCACUGGCCUCUCAUCAUGGACCUUGCCACACUGUGAAAAGUGCACAACCAUUAUGGUGCGGAGAAGAAUGAAGGGAAUGUACCCUUACUUCAACAACCUUUUUAACCUCUGCAGAUGUUACUUCCACUGUAGUUAAAUAUUCAUCUAUUUUCAUCUUGCUCCUGAGCAGUGCUUCUUCUUUGGUUGCAUUUCUGUUGUGCAAUAAAAUCCCUUCCUGACCUCUUCAGGUGAGCUUGAUUUGUAAGGUUUUGUUAUCCUUAGCUUAACAUGCAUAGCUACAAAGACCAUGAUUAUUUAGCCAGGUGCAGACACUGUGCCAGUCCAAUUCUG